CCUGGCGGCGUGCUUACACAUGCAAGUCGUACGAGAAAGUCCGCUUCGGCGGAUUAGUAGAGUGGCGCACGGGCGAGUAACGCGUGGAUAAUCUGCCCUUUAGUUAGGGAUAACCCACCGAAAGGUGAGCUAAUACCCAAUGAUGCUGAUGUGCUUCGGCAUAUUAGUCAAAGGUGGCCUCUGUAUACAAGCUAUCGCUGAAGGAUGAGUCCGCGUACCAUUAGCUUGUUGGUAGGGUAAUGGCCUACCAAGGCGAUGAUGGUUAGCUGGUCUGAGAGGAUGAUCAGCCACACUGGAACUGAGACACGGUCCAGACUCCUACGGGAGGCAGCAGUGAGGAAUAUUGCGCAAUGGGGGAAACCCUGACGCAGCGACGCCGCGUGAGUGAGGAAGGCCUUCGGGUUGUAAAGCUCUGUCAGGCGGGAAGAAAUGUGUGGUGGCUAAUACCUGCCAUGCUUGACGGUACCGCCAGAGGAAGCACCGGCCAACUCCGUGCCAGCAGCCGCGGUAAUACGGGGGGUGCAAGCGUUGUUCGGAAUUAUUGGGCGUAAAGAGCGUGUAGGCGGCUAGGUAAGUCAGAUGUGAAAGCCCUAGGCUCAACCUGGGAAGUGCAUUUGAAACUGCUUGGCUAGAGUGAGGGAGAGGAAAGUGGAAUUCCUGGUGUAGAGGUGAAAUUCNUA
This 680-nucleotide ribosomal RNA is filed under the name uncultured delta proteobacterium. RNAcentral's name for it is "bacterial SSU rRNA". It matches the Rfam family "Bacterial small subunit ribosomal RNA", at positions 35 to 692 of the family's 1533-position model. Lineage: Bacteria; Deltaproteobacteria. The record is from RNAcentral.